This 253-nucleotide ribosomal RNA is filed under the name uncultured bacterium. RNAcentral describes it as "partial 16S ribosomal RNA". It matches the Rfam family "Bacterial small subunit ribosomal RNA", at positions 524 to 776 of the family's 1533-position model. The record is from RNAcentral.
CACGAACCGUACAAACGUUAUUCGGAAUUACUGGGCUUAAAGGGUGCGUAGGCGGCCCGGAAAGUUGGAUGUGAAAUCCCUCGGCUCAACCGAGGAAUUGCGUUCAAAACUGCCGGGCUCGAGGAAGACAGAGGUGAGUGGAACUUAGGGUGGAGCGGUGAAAUGCGUUGAUAUCCUAAGGAACACCAGUGGCGAAAGCGACUCACUGGGUCUUUUCUGACGCUGAGGCACGAAAGCCAGGGGAGCGAACGGG